Unclassified non-coding RNA from Macaca fascicularis (crab-eating macaque), 148 nucleotides. It matches the Rfam family "Metazoan signal recognition particle RNA". From Rfam's summary of the family: The signal recognition particle (SRP) is a universally conserved ribonucleoprotein. It is involved in the co-translational targeting of proteins to membranes. The eukaryotic SRP consists of a 300-nucleotide 7S RNA and six proteins: SRPs 72, 68, 54, 19, 14, and 9. Lineage: Eukaryota; Metazoa; Chordata; Mammalia; Primates; Cercopithecidae. The record is from Ensembl.
GCUGGGUGCAGUGGUGCACGCCUGUAGUCCCAGCUACUUGGGAGGCUGAGGCAGGAGAAUUGCUUGAACCCAGGAGAUCGAGGUUGCAGUGAGCUGAGAUCAUGCCACUGCACUCCAGCCUGGGUGACAGAGUGAGAACCUGUCUCAA